RNAcentral lists this ribosomal RNA (796 nucleotides) under Lepeophtheirus salmonis (salmon louse). RNAcentral's name for it is "partial 16S ribosomal RNA". The record is from RNAcentral. Lineage: Eukaryota; Metazoa; Arthropoda; Copepoda; Siphonostomatoida; Caligidae.
AAAAUAUCUAUCCUCCCUCUAAGCCUAGGUAGAAAACUAAGUUAUAAGACAAGGAUGAACACGAUAUAUGGUACUUUUUAAAAUCUGGUUCCCAAAGAAAUAAAACAUUUUAAAAAGAAUUUUAAAAUAAUGUAUUUAGCUUAUGCUGAGUAUAUAUUAGUGAGCAACUAAUUUAAAAAUAUUUAAGGAAUAAUAGUCCCCUCUGUUAUAAUAAAUUACUAUUGACCUAAUUUAUUUAUUAAGCUUCUCUUCUUAUUUGGGUAAUUAAUUCUAAGAAUUAGAACUUGUUUACACUAGUAAAUAUACUUUUAUUAUUUUCUUACUUAAAUAAGUUUUAUCAAUUUUAAAUUAAAUAUAAACUAAAUAACUUGAGAUUUUCCAAACUGUUUAACAAAAACAUAGUAAGACUGUGUCUUAUGUAUCUGCCCAAUGAAUAAUUUUUUAUGGCUUUAAAGUAGCGCAAUAAUUAGUUUAUUAAUUGUAAACCUGUAUGAAGCUAGCAUUGGUUAAUCAUGUUUAUUCUUAUCUGUUGAAUCUUAGUUAUCAGUACAAACGCUGAUAUGCCCCCCGAAGACGAUAAGACCCUAAGACCUUCACCUUGUUUGGCUGGGAUAGCCUACUUAAUAUAAUAAAGAAACCUUAAUUAUUACGAACCAAUUAUUUUGCUAUACAUAGGUACCUUAGGGAUAACAGCGCGUAAUACUUUUAGAGCUCUUAUUUAAAAGAUAUUCGUGACCUCGAUGUUGAAUUAAGUAAUAUAGUGCUGCAGAAGGUGCUAUUUUAAGUCUGUUCGACU